Molecule: non-coding RNA, 181 nt
Filed under: Lysinibacillus xylanilyticus
Lineage: Bacteria; Bacillati; Bacillota; Bacilli; Caryophanales; Bacillaceae
Source: RNAcentral
UUUGUGCGCGAGUCUAUCAAUAUUAUUUGUAUUAAAAUAAAUAAGAUGAAUUGGUGCAAAUCUGUCGAUGUCCCACAACUGUAAAUGGAGAGUCUAUACAGAUGCCACUGUAGCUACGUUAUGGGAAGGUGUAAAGCUGAUGAAUCCUAAGUCAGGAUACUGCCGAUAUGAGUAAGACUGA